AGUGAACGCUGGCGGUAGGCCUAUCACAUGCAAGUCGAACGGCAGCACAGUAAGAGCUUGCUCUUACGGGUGGCGAGUGGCGGACGGGUGAGGAAUACAUCGGAAUCUACUUUUUCGUGGGGGAUAACGUAGGGAAACUUACGCUAAUACCGCAUACGACCUACGGGUGAAAGCAGGGGAUCUUCGGACCUUGCGCGAUUGAAUGAGCCGAUGUCGGAUUAGCUAGUUGGCGGGGUAAAGGCCCACCAAGGCGACGAUCCGUAGGUGGUCUGAGAGGAUGAUCAGCCACACUGGAACUGAGACACGGUCCAGACUCCUACGGGAGGCAGCAGUGGGGAAUAUUGGACAAUGGGCGCAAGCCUGAUCCAGCCAUACCGCGUGGGUGAAGAAGGCCUUCGGGUUGUAAAGCCCUUUUGUUGGGAAAGAAAAGCAGCAGGUUAAUACCCCGCUGUUCUGACGGUACCCAAAGAAUAAGCACCGGCUAACUUCGUG
RNAcentral lists this ribosomal RNA (492 nucleotides) under uncultured bacterium. RNAcentral describes it as "partial 16S ribosomal RNA". It matches the Rfam family "Bacterial small subunit ribosomal RNA", at positions 29 to 507 of the family's 1533-position model. The record is from RNAcentral.